GCGGGCGUGGCGGAAUCGGCAGACGCACCAGGUUUAGGUCCUGGCGGGGAAACCCGUGGGGGUUCAAGUCCCUUCGCCCGCACCA
Molecule: transfer RNA, 85 nt
Filed under: Coriobacteriales bacterium
Lineage: Bacteria; Bacillati; Actinomycetota; Coriobacteriia; Coriobacteriales
Description: tRNA-Leu
Rfam family: tRNA
About the family: Transfer RNA (tRNA) molecules are approximately 80 nucleotides in length. Their secondary structure includes four short double-helical elements and three loops (D, anti-codon, and T loops).
Source: RNAcentral